Long non-coding RNA from Conger conger (European conger), 1122 nucleotides. RefSeq lists it as uncharacterized. The record is from RefSeq and is a predicted model, not a curated record. NCBI's taxonomy places the organism in Eukaryota, Metazoa, Chordata, Actinopteri, Anguilliformes, Congridae. The transcript is spliced from 2 exons.
GAUGGAAGCUGAUAUAAGGAGGCAGUUGUGGGAGUGCUAGGUGGUGGAAUUUUGGAAAAUGAAGACAUCAUGGUGGAUGAGGUGUCCGAGACAGUUCUACACAGGCUGCUGUGACAUCUGUAACAGAACGCAUUGUGGUUAUGAUCAGACAAAUGCCGAGUCCAGAGUCUGUCAUCCAGAUGAAUGACCAAGGCAGGUGCAUCAGUUGCCGAAAGUCCUUUUAUUCUGGGAAUCUCUGCGCUUCUACUGGGAAUAUGAAACGUGAAGAUCGGCAUCCAUAAAUAAAAGUCUUUAAGCCAUUACAGUAUGUAAAUGUCUUCUAUACAAUGUGGUGGGACUAUGUAGAACAGUGUCCUGAGUCUAGUGUCCAUAACCUCUGACAGUUGAAACCAAUACUUGGGAUUCCGCAAGCACUGGAAUGCACACUCACAGUAAGAAAGAAAAACAAACUGUGAUUUAGUGCUUUUCAUUGUAAGUGGCUGCAAGCAGAAUUAAAGUAAAUACUAUUAGCCACCCGUCAAACAAGACCAACUAUUUACACAUAGAGGUGAAAAGCAACUGUAAUCUCUAAUCUCAUGUUUAUAUGUAGAUGUAGCUCUUUAUAUUUUAUAGUUAUAUGUACAUGUAGCUCUUUAUAUGUAAAACUGAUAUAUUAAAUGCAGAUAUCCACAAACUGCUAGCAACUGCCACCGGUGUAGUCAUGCUUUUCUUUGAUUCAUUAGAACCUGGUGACUAGAGGUGUUGAAAGAGCAGCCUGCAAUGUUGAAUCACCUCCAGAUUCUGUUAUAUAAUAGAUGGGCACAGGACUAUGGUUAGGUGAACUAAUAUAAUUCUUAUAUUAGUUUGUAGGAAUGAAAGACAUCUUGUUAACUACUUAUGGACUACCGGGAGUUAAAUCUGCAGAUGCCUUUUGUUUGUAUUUUUAGAUGUGAAGGCAUUGUGAGAAACAGAUGCAGCAAUGUUAAAUAUGUAAUUUGCCUGUGCAAACUUUGUCUGUGCCAGAAAUAAAGCAGAGGGACCCUCAUAAUUAUUGUAGAAAAUACACAAACAGGAGUCACUUUAAUUUGUUUUUGAUUAUAUCUCCUUUAUUAAGCAAACAUGAAUAAAGCAAACAUGAACUUG